This 371-nucleotide ribosomal RNA is filed under the name uncultured Glomeromycotina. RNAcentral's name for it is "eukaryotic LSU rRNA". The record is from RNAcentral. Lineage: Eukaryota; Fungi; Glomeromycota.
UUGAAAGGGAAACGAUUGAAGUCAGUCGUACCGACGAGAAAUCAGCUCUUUGAGUGCGAACUCGUGGGCGUGCGUGAGUUUCGGCCUCGCUGUUUGCAUGUUUGUGCGCUUUGGGUGUACUUUUUCGUAUGGUAGGCCAACGUCAGUUUCGAUUAUCAUAAAAUGACCGGCGGAAUGUAGCUUCGAUCUCGUAUUGAAGUGUUAUAGCCUUUGGUAGAUGUGGUGUUUGGGACUGAGGAUUGCAACGAAUAUCCUUUGGGCUAUCCGUCUGAUCUCUGAAAGUUGCUUAGGUGCCGAAAGCAUGCUUACGGUUAUUUAAGUUGACGGUCAAAAGGUUAGAACGGAUUACAUUCGUUAAGGAUGUUGACGUA